RNAcentral lists this unclassified non-coding RNA (205 nucleotides) under soil metagenome. Its description in RNAcentral is "partial contains 5.8S ribosomal RNA, internal transcribed spacer 2, and large subunit ribosomal RNA". The record is from RNAcentral.
AACGCACGAGACCUGCGGACCUGCGGAGGGAUCAUUACUGAGUGUGACCCUCUAUUAGAGGGUGCCUCCCGUCCUUGCAGGCCCCUAGGGGCUUUUGACUUUGCUUCGGCGGUACCCCCGCCGGAACAACCCCAAGAAAAUCUCAAUCAAACUGUUCGUCCGAGGGCUUAUGAAUAAUAAUCAAAACUUUCAACAACGGAUCUCU